AGUUCGGAUUGUAGUCUGCAACUCGACUACAUGAAGCUGGAAUCGCUAGUAAUCGCGGAUCAGAAUGCCGCGGUGAAUACGUUCCCGGGUCUUGUACACACCGCCCGUCACACCAUGGGAGUCGGAAAUGCCCGAAGUCUGUGACCCAACCUUAGGGAGGGAGCAGCCGAAGGCAGGUCGGAUGACUGGGGUGAAGUCGUAACAAGGUAUC
RNAcentral lists this ribosomal RNA (211 nucleotides) under uncultured bacterium. Its description in RNAcentral is "partial 16S ribosomal RNA". It matches the Rfam family "Bacterial small subunit ribosomal RNA", at positions 1290 to 1500 of the family's 1533-position model. The record is from RNAcentral.